GAGUUUGAUCCUGGUUCAGAUUGAACGCUGGCGGCAUGCCUAACACAUGCAAGUCGAACGGCAGCACAGUGUGUAGCAAUACACAUGGGUGGCGAGUGGCGGACGGGUGAGUAAUGCAUAGGAAUCUGCCCAGUAGCGGGGGACAACCCGGAGAAAUCCGGGCUAAUACCGCAUACGCCCUAAGGGGGAAAGCGGGGGACCGAAAGGCCUCGCACUAUUGGAUGAGCCCAUGUCGGAUUAGCUAGUUGGUAGGGUAACGGCCUACCAAGGCGACAAUCCGUAGCUGGUCUGAGAGGACGAUCAGCCACACCGGAACUGAGACACGGUCCGGACUCCUACGGGAGGCAGCAGUGGGGAAUAUUGGACAAUGGGGGCAACCCUGAUCCAGCAAUGCCGCGUGUGUGAAGAAGGCCUGCGGGUUGUAAAGCACUUUCAGUGGGGACAAAAAGCGCCGUGUUAAUACCGCGGCUUUUGAUUUAACCCAUAGAAGAAGCACCGGCUAACUCUGUGCCAGCAGCCGCGGUAAUACAGAGGGUGCGAGCGUUAAUCGGAUACUGGGCGUAAAGCGCACGUAG
This 575-nucleotide ribosomal RNA is filed under the name uncultured Gammaproteobacteria bacterium. RNAcentral's name for it is "bacterial SSU rRNA". It matches the Rfam family "Bacterial small subunit ribosomal RNA", at positions 9 to 574 of the family's 1533-position model. The record is from RNAcentral. Lineage: Bacteria; Pseudomonadati; Pseudomonadota; Gammaproteobacteria.